RNAcentral lists this ribosomal RNA (253 nucleotides) under uncultured bacterium. RNAcentral describes it as "partial 16S ribosomal RNA". It matches the Rfam family "Bacterial small subunit ribosomal RNA", at positions 524 to 776 of the family's 1533-position model. The record is from RNAcentral.
UACGGAGGGUGCAAGCGUUAUCCGGAUUCACUGGGUUUAAAGGGUGCGUAGGAGGACUGGUAAGUCAGUGGUGAAAUCCCCGAGCUUAACUUGGGAACUGCCGUUGAUACUAUCAGUCUUGAAUACCGUGGAGGUGAGCGGAAUAUGUCAUGUAGCGGUGAAAUGCUUAGAUAUGACAUAGAACACCAAUUGCGAAGGCAGCUCGCUACACGAAUAUUGACACUGAGGCUCGAAAGCGUGGGGAUCAAACAGG